Molecule: ribosomal RNA, 710 nt
Filed under: Streptomyces sp. SUK13
Lineage: Bacteria; Bacillati; Actinomycetota; Actinomycetes; Kitasatosporales; Streptomycetaceae
Description: bacterial SSU rRNA
Rfam family: Bacterial small subunit ribosomal RNA
Source: RNAcentral
ACGCUGGCGGCGUGCUUAACACAUGCAAGUCGAACGAUGAACCACUUCGGUGGGGAUUAGUGGCGAACGGGUGAGUAACACGUGGGCAAUCUGCCCUUCACUCUGGGACAAGCCCUGGAAACGGGGUCUAAUACCGGAUAACACUGCGGAUCGCAUGGUCUGCGGUUAAAAGCUCCGGCGGUGAAGGAUGAGCCCGCGGCCUAUCAGCUUGUUGGUGAGGUAAUGGCUCACCAAGGCGACGACGGGUAGCCGGCCUGAGAGGGCGACCGGCCACACUGGGACUGAGACACGGCCCAGACUCCUACGGGAGGCAGCAGUGGGGAAUAUUGCACAAUGGGCGAAAGCCUGAUGCAGCGACGCCGCGUGAGGGAUGACGGCCUUCGGGUUGUAAACCUCUUUCAGCAGGGAAGAAGCGAAAGUGACGGUACCUGCAGAAGAAGCGCCGGCUAACUACGUGCCAGCAGCCGCGGUAAUACGUAGGGCGCAAGCGUUGUCCGGAAUUAUUGGGCGUAAAGAGCUCGUAGGCGGCUUGUCACGUCGAUUGUGAAAGCCCGAGGCUUAACCUCGGGUCUGCAGUCGAUACGGGCUAGCUAGAGUGUGGUAGGGGAGAUCGGAAUUCCUGGUGUAGCGGUGAAAUGCGCAGAUAUCAGGAGGAACACCGGUGGCGAAGGCGGAUCUCUGGGCCAUUACUGACGCUGAGGAGCGAAAGC